This 4499-nucleotide ribosomal RNA is filed under the name Triticum aestivum (bread wheat). RNAcentral's name for it is "partial small subunit ribosomal RNA". The record is from RNAcentral. Lineage: Eukaryota; Viridiplantae; Streptophyta; Magnoliopsida; Poales; Poaceae.
CUUUCCUAACGCAUCGAUUCUUACCUCUCCUGCUAACGCAAUCCCUUCGACCCUGCCCUCCUCGCGAACCUGGACGUGAUCCUCCCGACGCGUGCCCUCAUCUCGUCCUCGCGCCGCCGUCCUCUCCUAGUCCGACCUUGACCUCAUUCCUUCGAUUCCGGCGACUCCUCUGUGCCCCUGGCCUGGCCGACGCCGUCACAUCCGACGCCGAGGAGCCGGCCUGAUAGGCUUGAACCAUCCCUUGAUCCCUCGAGUCUUCUGCAUCCCUCGAUGUCUCGAUCCCUUGUCUUCUCCAUCUCUCGAUCCCUCACAUCCUUGCUGCUACGAAGAGAACGGUUCCCUUUCUACAUGGUCUGGCGUGAAAGAGCUCGAGCAAGGAGGGCGUGUGCGGCCACCUCGCGCUUCGGCGAGAUCCUCGAGGCUGUCAUCGCAGACAAGGGCACUGGAAGAUCCAAGGGCGGCGGAUUCAUGAGUACCGCCCAAACAAUUCUCUCCUCCCCUCAUCAUCGCUUGAUCUCCCCGUAGUUAAUAUUCUUGCUUAAUUCAACCCCAUUAGUUGAUGCUUGGCAUGUUACGUUCCAGGAGGCGGAGGCUGCCAUUAGGGCGUGCUUGGGCCGGUACCCGGUGAUUGACGGUCGGAGGGCCUACUGCAACCUCGCCUGCCUCAGGGUCCAGAUGUCCAAGGCGCCACAACCAACUGCCUCUGCAUCCAUAUGCUGGGUGUCCAUGUUGGACGGAGACUUUCUCGUAGCCGAUGGUUGCCCUUCAAGCACCAACAAAUUAGAAAUUCCAAGCCCUGCUGAGAUUACGAGCUGGGUGGAAAGGGAAUCAACACCAUCACGCCAAAACAUUGAAGGAGCAAUCCAAGAGCUAAAAACUACAGUGAUCUCACUAUCCAUCAACAAUUGUUAUUUUUCUCUAUCUACGUCCUAAUCAGGCCCUAGAGCUUGAACCUUCUUCAGCAAAUAAGGGUCACCAAGUUCUUAUAGUCAGUCACUGGACCACAACGCUUGAUAUCCUUCAAUGGACACUGGAAGUAAUAUGAGCUACAGAUAUGCGUCCCAAUGGGGGGUUAUUUAUUUCCUCAACAAGGUACAGUACAGUAGGACAGGUAAAGUGAACACACAACUUGAUUCUAUGGUUCUUAGAAUGUCACUGUACUAUGUUUUAGGCUAAGCAGAAGCAGCGUUGGCCAUGAAGAACAUCAGUUUAUCUUUAAGAUAUCUCUGAAAUUUUGGAGAGUCUGAUGUGUUACGAAUUAUUGUUGUAUAUAAGGAGAAUAGUAGGAGAAGAUCUGCACUUGUGUAUGUGUGCAAGUUACAGUACAGUAGGAAUGGUAAAGUGAACACACAACUUUUUUGGAGGGAAAGGUCAUAAUGGCUAGCUUUAUUAACUCAAACAAGAAUUACAUCGUUCACUAAUUGGCUGAUCAGAAACCAUGGGGGUUCAUCAGUCCAAUUUUCAUUACAUUUAUUAUAAAAACUAAACUUUGCUAGCUCAUGAGCUACUGAAUUAGCAUAACGAAAACAGUGUGAAAAGAUGAUCUUCCUUUCGAUGUUGCCGUAUCAAUACAUCCUGCAAAGAUUGCCGUUGUUGCAUCCCACCACUGUGCUUGUCCCUGGCAAUUGUUAACAACACUCAAGAAAUCAGAUUAUGCUUCAGUUCUAUUAAAUCCCAAAGUAUUUGCUAGAUUUAACCCAUCACAACUUGAUUUUAUGGUUAUUACAACGUAACCGUAAUAUGUUUCAGGCUAAGCAGAAGUAGCGUUGGCAUUGAAGAACAUCAAUUUAUCUUAACGAUAUCUCUGAAAUUUUGGAGAGUCUGAUAUGUUACGAAUUAUUUUUGUAUAUAAGGAGAAUAGUAGGAGAAGAUCUGCAGUUGUGUAUGUAUAAGCUUUACUGACGUAGUUUUUUGUUCUUGCAAGAUCCUAACCGUUUACCCAUUUGCUACCUAGAUUCACUUACUGAUUGUAAAUUGCUUAACUUCUUGCACAUAAAAAGACAAUAGGCUUGGAUUUGUGAAACAACUAUAUUUUUCUGUACAAUGGUGAAAGAGCUACAUUGCUAUAUCGCUCUCUAAUUCAAUUUCUUCAAUUCCAUAUGGACAUAGGAAACUUGAAUACUACACCACAACUCUUAGGCCUGCCAAACUAUAAGGAUGAUCACGUGGUCAUGAGCGGAACCGGAUGUACCCCGUAAGAAAUUUUAUCUAAUUCUGAUCUCGAGCUCAUGGAUAAUCCACCUGAUGGAGUCAAAGACAAACAUCCUAGCCCAAUCCCCAUCAUGCACACGGAUCAAUGUGAAUUACUUCCUGGCCACCGCAACUACAUCAUGUCGAUCGAUGAUGCAAGUGUUUGGAGUAUCAUUUAUCAAUAUGUAAUGUGCCAGUAUACAUUAUUUUUAUUCUUACCACCCAAUUUUCAGGAAGGAAUGGGUCCGAAGCUCGACACCUCGUCCAAUGGUCUUAAGUCUCAAAAAACUUCAGGGCAUACUUAACAUGGAGCAGUCUAUGGACAAUGAUUGUUUCAACAUUGUCGUGCAUAUACUGGCAUGUGACGAGGGAGUAUUGUUCGCAGACCCUCCUAUACACUACAUGGAUUUACAAUUUUGUGUAAAUUAUCAAAAUUCUUCAUUCAAUAUCAUUAGUAUCAACAUGUUUCUAAAUAGUUUUUUACUCAGUCCAUGAUGCUGGAUUCAACACGAGAUCAAAAGUUCUGCGAUAAGGAAACUAUUCAGAAAUUGGCAACUUUGUUUGAUAGCUGGCUUGGGAUAGACAACAACAUCUCAUCGGGCAACAUGGUAAGUAAGGUCUUUUGUCUAUUGUUUAUCAUGGUUUAUGUUGUCUGUAAUAGCUACCACUUAUAGAUUUAUCUUCCAUAUGAAUCCAUCGGUCGAUACAUCUUGUACGUCAUCGACAAAGAGGCACGUCGUGUAUCUAUUCUGGACCCUAUUCAUACAACACAAUCGUCAGAGAUGAAAAUUCUGAGGUACUUAGUGAAAUUAAAAAGUUUUGCAAGGGAAUUCAAAGAAGCACUCGAAAUAAAGCAACCAGGAUGAAAUUUUGAUAUAUCCAAAUGGCAACGUUUAUUUGUUAAUGGCAUUCCAACGAGCGUAGAUGGGUAAUAAAUUUAGAAUAUAAACAUUUAUUUUUGUUAUCACAAUAUUUAAUGUAAUAACAAUUUAGGAAAUUGCAAGGAUUUGCCAGGCUAUUUUGUCUUUCAUUUUAUGCUAUUGUGGAACUGUAAAGACCUGGCGAAGCUGGUUUGUGUGGUGUGUAUUGUGCGUUACACAUGUUUUUAAACCUUCCACGUGAAGUAUUCGUGCUAGAUAUAUAUAUUGCUUUUGCAGGAUGGGUAUGAGUUGAGGAAGCAGUUUUUAUAUACUUGCUCAAACAUCGUGCGAAUGAAGCUAAAGACAACUUGCCUGAUAUUGUGAAGGAAUUUCUGAAGCGCAUCAAGUAGAUCUCAAUACUUUGUAAUAGAUUUUUAGUUGGAUCAUCACUUUAUACAUAUACAUUGUUAAUAUGCUAUUUUGUGAUCACUUUACAUUACAAGUGAAGUGGACUUCAAUUAUUAUGCAAUUGUGAACCUCUUAUAUUGUCUCCACAUGUGACUAUUUCAGAAGCCCGUGGCCCUUCUUUUCUUUCAGAUAGUGGGAUGCGUUGAUCUGCUGAAUCAAGAAGAUCAAGUCCUCCCGGGCAAGGCGAACCUUAACGCACGUGCAUUCUACUACUUAGGAGUAGAGAUUGAUUUGUAGUAAUCAUAUAAGAUCAGUUUAGAUAGAUAGAUUGAUUGACAAGCCAGGGAAAAAAUCUGUUUUGAAUAUAGAUUGAUUGAUUUUGUCCUCUCCCCGCCUAAAUAGGGUUGCAAGAAAAGCUCGAGGCUCGUGAGCCGCUCGAGAUCGACUCGUAUUUUAGCUCGACUCGAAAAGAAAUUAGCUGAGUGAUAUGUCUUCAACGUAUCUAUAAUUUUUGAUUGUUUCAUGCUAUUAUAUUAUCUAUUUUGGAUGUUUAAUGGGCUUUAUUAUGCACUUUUAUAUUAUUUUUGGGACUAACCUAUUAACCGAAGGCCCAAUGCAAAUUGUUGUUGUUUUUUUGCCUAUUUCAGUGUUCCGCAGAAAAGGAAUAUUAAACGGAAUCCAAACGGAAUGAAACCCUCGCGAGGAUCGUUUUUGGAACAAAUGCAAUCCAGGAGAUUUGAAGUGGACGUCAAGGAAGCAACGAGGCGGCCACGAGGUAGGAGGGCGCGCCCAGGGGGUAGGCGCGCCCCCACCCUUGUGGGCCCCUCGUGGCUCCACCGGCCUACUUCUCUCGCCUAUAUAUACUCAUAUACACUGAAAACAUCCGGGAGCACCACGUAACCCUAUUUUCACUGCCGCAACCUUAUCUACCCAUGAGAUCCCAUCUUGGGGCCUUUUCCGGCGCUCUGUCGGAGGGGAAUCGAUCAUGGAGGGCUUCUACAUCAACAUCAUAGCCUCUCCGAUGAUGUGUGAGUAGUUUAC